GAUGGACGCUGGCGGCGUGCCUAAUACAUGCAAGUAGAACGCUGAAGGAAGGAGCUUGCUCUUUCCGGAUGAGUUGCGAACGGGUGAGUAACGCGUAGGUAACCUGCCUGGUAGCGGGGGAUAACUAUUGGAAACGAUAGCUAAUACCGCAUAACAGUAGAUGUUGCAUGAUAUCUACUUAAAAGGUGCAAUUGCACCACUACCAGAUGGACCUGCGUUGUAUUAGCUAGUUGGUGAGGUAACGGCUCACCAAGGCGACGAUACAUAGCCGACCUGAGAGGGUGAUCGGCCACACUGGGACUGAGACACGGCCCAGACUCCUACGGGAGGCAGCAGUAGGGAAUCUUCGGCAAUGGACGGAAGUCUGACCGAGCAACGCCGCGUGAGUGAAGAAGGUUUUCGGAUCGUAAAGCUCUGUUGUAAGAGAAGAACGAGUGUGAGAGUGGAAAGUUCACACUGUGACGGUAUCUUACCAGAAAGGGACGGCUAACUACGU
RNAcentral lists this ribosomal RNA (496 nucleotides) under uncultured bacterium. Its description in RNAcentral is "partial 16S ribosomal RNA". It matches the Rfam family "Bacterial small subunit ribosomal RNA", at positions 28 to 506 of the family's 1533-position model. The record is from RNAcentral.